AUUGAACGCUGGCGGCAGGCCUAACACAUGCAAGUCGAGCGGAUGAAGGGAGCUUGCUCCUGGAUUCAGCGGCGGACGGGUGAGUAAUGCCUAGGAAUCUGCCUGGUAGUGGGGGAUAACGUCCGGAAACGGGCGCUAAUACCGCAUACGUCCUGAGGGAGAAAGUGGGGGAUCUUCGGACCUCACGCUAUCAGAUGAGCCUAGGUCGGAUUAGCUAGUUGGUGGGGUAAAGGCCUACCAAGGCGCCGAUCCGUAACUGGUCUGAGAGGAUGAUGAGUCACACUGGAAAUGAGACACGUUCCAGACUACUACGGGAGGCAGCAGUGGGGAAUAUUGGACAAUGGGCGAAAGCUUGAUCCAGCCAUGCCGCGUGUGUGAAGAAGGUAUUCGGAUUGUAAAGCACUUUAAGUUGGGAGGAAGGGCAGUAAGGUAAUACCUUGCUGUUGUGACGUUACCAAAAGAAUAAGCACCGGCUAACUUCGUG
Molecule: ribosomal RNA, 484 nt
Filed under: uncultured bacterium
Lineage: Bacteria
Description: partial 16S ribosomal RNA
Rfam family: Bacterial small subunit ribosomal RNA
Source: RNAcentral